GAGAGGGUGAAGGGGUAGAGCUGCUCAGGGUACAGCCCAGGAAAGAAAUUCUGAGGAAACUGCAGCCUCAGCUCUCUCAGAAAGGAGCGCGUGAGGGCGUGCAGUCUCGCCAGCCAGGAGGGCUGCUCAUUUCCACGUGAGCAGCCAGUCUGGGGGUCAGUUUUCUCGUAGUUUUCCCUAUGGCGAUAGCAGUGAAUGCAUUCUAAGUGCCAAGGAGCUGCAGCAUUAGGUGCUGUCUUUUCCUUGACGAAAAUACUAAUGUGUGACCUGCAUGCUACAGGGGAAUUGUCAAUUUCAGAUCAUUACCGGGGAAAAACAUGGCAGAGUUUAACUUGUCUCUCCGUUGUGCUAGCGUCUCCUGCAGAAACGAAGGAAGAAAAGGCUUGACACUGCACUGAAUCCACUUUUGUCUUAGCAGGGCACUGGCUGCAUCUGUUUGAAAGGCUUGCAUUGUACCACUGUUCUUUGUUAUCAGGUUUCCCAUGGUGGUCAGUGUUACAUAUCUUACAUUGUUUGAGCUAAUUAAGCCAGGGAAUCAGGGAAAGCACAUUUCCGGCGGGGAUUUAUUGCCAAAAGAUAUUUCAGCUGAAGGGGAAAAAAAGGAAAUCUCCCUUUAUGUCCAGCAUUCCUGAGCUGUUUCAUAAUAUUCAGUGUUCAGCUUCAUGGAAAUACACUGACAACAAUGUCAAGAAGUUUGAAAUUGAGCAGUUUUCCUCUGUUUUGUUGAAUUUAAAAACACUAUAAGGAAAGCAACAGUUCUGUAUAGCCACAAAAAUAAGAAAACUAUUUGAAUCAUCUUGGUUGGAAACAGAGUUAGACCUGUUUGUUAAUCUACAAACAGAUUAUUGUUUCCUCUCAAGGUGCUUUGUGCCACUUCAUUACUUGCACUCAUUUUUAUAUUUCUUUGCAAGAGAAACGCAAGUGGCAGCGCUUUAAGUCUUCACUGCUGUGUAUUUAGGACACCUGUAGAGGCAAAGGGACAUGGUUCACUAAAGUCCGCACCCAGCAUGGUUGUUCACAGCAGCAUGAAGGGGUGCUCAAAGCACCUGUCAGGAGGAUGAGUUGAACCCCGCGUACGUGCCCAGCACAUCAGUGCUGUAGGGUGUUUUCCAGCACCUUCAGCUGCCUCACAAGUGCUGCCCAUGGGGCAGAGCCCCGACUGCAACACGGUCAUCGGCCCAGCCGAAAAGGGAAGCUCUGCUCUGACGUAUGGGAUGUCAUACACAGGUUCAUUGUUAGGAAAUCCUGUGUGUGAACAAAGCCCUACUUUUCUUCCAAGUAAUAUUAGUAAUCACUGUUGGUGAUGAUGACAGUUUCUUCAUUUUCACCAAGACAUCUAAAAGGCUUUGCUGAAAGAAGUCAGGAUGAUUAUCCUCUGCCUUGCCAAGGGAAACCUGAGCAACUGGGGAUUGCUGUUGAUUAUUAAAGGCAUUCAGUGUUUUGGAUGAGAAGAUCCAAAAGUCUUCAGUUUGGUGUAACUUCUGUCAAGCUUUGGCUGUUCACUCUGAAAUUGUGUUCAGGUAGUUUCUGCAGAAACAUUUCAGCUCUUCCAAACAUAAUGAAGAAAAGAAUUUUCAUUCGUGGAAAAAGGAAAGUAUGACAACUUUCUCUUUAGAAAGCAUUGGCAGUCCACCUCAUUUGAAGCAGGGACUAAAAGUCUGAUAUCACUAUACUGUCAAAGAAAAUUUACCUAAUUUCUAGGUCUCUGAAAAGCUGCAGCUUGAACAUUCUCUCAGAAGAGAGUGUUUUAGCCAAACUCCCCUCAUAUUUGGCCCACAGUGAGCAGGCUAGACUGCAACCUAUCAUUGCUAUCAGUUAAUCCUUUAGGACAAGUGAGAAGAGUCUCGGAUAUAAGAGUUUCCAGCUUUGCUGGUGACACAUACAGGUGUCAGUGCAAAGCUGAAUGAUAACACUUCAGUAUUCCCUUUUUUUUUUUUUUUAAUAGGAAAUUAUAUGCCGAAGCUGUUAAAAAGAUUGUGUUGAGAUGGAAAAAUCAGAAACUCAAAGUCGAAUAGAAAGAAUUCCACAAAUAAGAUUCUUAAUCCCAGUGCCAGUCCCUUUGUGCAGAUUUUAUUAUUAUUAUUAUUAUUAUUAUUAUUAUUAUUAUUAUUAUUAUUAUCCAUCUUUAAUUAAAUGAUGAUACUAAUUUUUUCCCUAAGUCUCUAUCCUCAUGUAGUGCAUAGGAUGAUUCUGCUAUUAAAAUUAAUGAAGACUGUAUUACAAAGAAAGCCCUUGGGCUGUAGGGUCCUCACCCCAAGUGCUGCUGUAUCUGGAAGACAUGCAGCCCAUGAGACAGCAGGUUACAAGGAGGGAGAAGACUACUUGGUGACUCAGGAAUUUGACUAUGGGAUGGCAUACCCUCUCCUGCCACUGCAUCUUUAUAUAAUGCUGACCAAGUCACUUAAAGCAGGUUUUGCACUGGUGGAUGCUAACUACAAAUCUGUCCCUUACAGUGCAUGUGCCUUGGCACUCAGAGGCUCCUGACCCUGCUGCUGCUUUUUCCAGGAGAGGAUCUUCACCAGCAGGCCAGAGCUCUCUGCUCAGGUUCCCUAUCUUUUUUUCCUGGAAGUAAAUGAAUUAGACUAAAGUGCAGAGCACAUUGAUACCAAGCUUGCAUUUCAAUAAGUAUGACAUGUAUAAUGUGUGUUUGUGGGUAGAACCCUGCUCCAGUGCAUGCAAUAAAUCUUGGGAGGGAAAGUGGUGGGGAGAAAGGUGGUAUGAAGCUUGCUGUAAUACUUUCUUCUAAGGUUUGAAUGAAAAACUGAUCACAUGGAUAGGCCCUUCAAGUGACCUGCUGAGCUGAUAGAAAAUCGAAGGACAGGAUGCCUGAAAGUGCCUCUGGAGAGCAGAAGCAAGAUGAGUGGUAAAUAAGCAAUACAAAGUCUGUGAAACCAAACCAUUAAAAAACCAUUUCUGAGCUAGUAAUCUUCUUUCACAUCCUUUCCACUGUGAGAAAAGGCAAAAGAGAAAGGGGAAGGAGGGAAGAGCACUGAAUAUUUUCUUUUAUUUCACAGAAGCUCAGGUGCUGAACUUGUUAGAAAUUUUCUUAGGUGCAAAAUGGUGUUCCUAACAUUUUGGACUGUUUCUGCCUUUGUUUUCCAGUCCCCACACCUAUUACAUUGAAGUCCAUUAAGAGGCUGAUGAUGAGUGCUGGUCACUCGGAGAAUGAGCAGCAAAGUCUGUAACACUGCCUUCUCUCAGCAGCAUGUGGCAGAACAAGAAAACAGCGUCCUCCUUGCCUCCCCUGGCACAGCGAUCUGAGUACUGAGAGCAGAACAACCUACUGGGCUGCGAGCAAAUGAGGAACAGCAGCAGCUUGGCAUUUUCCUGAGGCCGUGGCUUGAGACGGAGUUGCUGCAGCCUUAACAGAGGCUGCACCAACCAUGGCAAACGUGACCUGCUCCAUUAUUGGAUUGUGCGGUGCUGUUUUGCUUUUGCGCUUAAUAUUGGUAAUUAUGCAAUUUCUAGACAACUUCCCUGUCAUAACCAGGGCAGCAAUGCUGACAAAACAGGCUUUAAAUAAGCACUUGUCAAAGUAACAGCUAUUUUUGUUUGCCCUAUUUAGCACUGUGUUUAAGGUCUACAGUGGAAAUCUCAGACAUUUUUAAAUACAUGGUGCAGUCACUUUAUCACUGGAUCAUAAUAUUGUAAAUCCCCAAAGCAUGGAAAAUAAAAGUGUUUUAAUAGACCCUUUUCAUGGUUACUGCUGGCACGUAAAGGUCGCAGCUUUCGCAAGGCCUGCUUGAGAGCCAGGAAGCACAGACAAGCUUAGGACUGGUGAGUCCUUCUUCAGGCUGUAGGGGCUGUUGGGCAGGAAAGAUUCAAUAUCCUGCUUUUUCCCAUCUCUGAGACCUCCAGAGGGUUCUCCAGGGGAAAAGAAAGGACAAAAACACCAACGCAAGACUUAGCAGUCCUGCUGUUUCUCAGGUAAGAACCAAACAGAAAGCAACCUCAAAGCCUCUUAGUUCAUAAUUAAGACAAGACAAGAAAUCCUUUUUCCCUUCCUUCAUGAGCCCCAUCUGGGGUGAUUGUCUCCAUGCUCCUCAGGCACUGGGCUGCUUUGUUUGCCCAAACAGGGGGCACAGGUACAAUGUCAGCACAUGGCAACAGGUUUCUUACCCAAGGUGUUGUGAACAGGCAACCGUGAGGCCUCGCCUGACCGUGCAGCAAAGUAGGGAUGUGCACAACCUGAAAUAUGUGGAGGCUCACCCUUUAGGUAGGGAAAGGGAGGCCAGAUGGGCAGUGGCACAAGUGUGACAAUCAUGGAGGAGUGCUUCCUUUAGGAAAUAAAACAACCAGCCAAGCACAAAAGGAUUGCAGAGUAACAUGUGGGAGCAAUUGCAUACUGGUUUAUUUAGGCUAGUGCUUUUUUUUUUUUUCUUUCCCCUCCAUCUCCAGACUAUGGACUUCCUAGCCUGUCUAUUCCCAGGAAUCUUGUGAUAUGUUUAAGAACACAUCACAAACACAUUCUCCUUAAAAAGGCUCUGGUGAGGAGGAAAAGGGUUGAGGAGGAUCCUUGCUAUCUUUACACAGAGAGCUACAGGAGUAACAGCAUUUGGGGGUCCUGUUUUUUUGAACAACACCCUUGUCUUCCCCUCCUUCUUGUCUCUACCAGCGGAUGCCAGAGAGACAGCCAAAGCAAACAUAACACAUGGGAAAUGGUCUGUAAAUCCAAAACAAAAGAAAUUUUCUUUUAUCAGCUGUUUCCUGUUGUCAAAGAAUAAAUGAUUGCUUUAACUGUGGGCUUUUUUUUUUUUAGUGUAGUGUGCAUAGAAACGUGGUAAGUUAUUUAAUUUUUUGAGUAGAAUUGAAUUUUAUUACGUGUAUUAAAAUGAUCCUGUUAUUAAAAUAAUCUUGGCAUUAAAAUAAUAUCAUCUAUA
This is a long non-coding RNA of Columba livia (rock pigeon), 4880 nucleotides long. RefSeq lists it as uncharacterized. The record is from RefSeq and is a predicted model, not a curated record. The transcript is spliced from 2 exons. NCBI's taxonomy places the organism in Eukaryota, Metazoa, Chordata, Aves, Columbiformes, Columbidae.